GAUGAAGAACGUAGUGAAAUGCGAUAAGUAAUGUGAAUUGCAGAAUUCAGUGAAUCAUCGAAUCUUUGAACGCACAUUGCGCCCCUUGGUAUUCCGAGGGGCAUGCCUAUUCGAGCGUCAUUAUCACCCCUCAAGCCUAGCUUGGUGUUGAGGCCUGCUGUCAAGGCAGCCUCUAAAAUCAGUGGCAGUGCUGUCAGGCUCUAAGCGUAGUAAAUCUAAUCGCUAUAGACACCUGGUGGACACUCGCCAGAACCCCCCCAUUUUUUAAUGAUUGACCUCGGAUUAGGUAGGGAUACCCGCUGAACUUAAGCAUAUCAAUAAGCGGAGGA
RNAcentral lists this unclassified non-coding RNA (329 nucleotides) under soil metagenome. Its description in RNAcentral is "partial contains 5.8S ribosomal RNA, internal transcribed spacer 2, and large subunit ribosomal RNA". The stretch from base 1 to 120 matches the Rfam family "5.8S ribosomal RNA", at positions 35 to 154 of the family's 154-position model. The record is from RNAcentral.